CCUACGGGAGGCAGCAGUGGGGAAUAUUGCACAAUGGGCGAAACCCUGAUGCAGCGACGCCGCGUGAAGGAAGAAGUAUUUCGGUAUGUAAACUUCUAUCAGCAGGGAAGAAAAUGACGGUACCUGACUAAUAAGCCCCGGCUAACUCCGUGCCAGCAGCCGCGGUACUACGUAGGGGGCAAGCGUUAUCCGGAUUUACUGGGUGUAAAGGGGGCGUAGGCGGCGUUGCAAGUCAGAAGUGAAAGCUCGGGGCUCAACGCCGGGACUGCUUUUGAAACUGUGUUGCUAGAGUGCAGGAGAGGUAGGUGGAAGUCGUGGUGUAGCGGUGAAAUGCGUAGAUAUUAGGAGGAACACCAGUGGCGAAGGCAGCUUACUGGACUGUAAAUGACGCUGAGGCUCGAAAGCGUGGGGAGCAAACAGGAUUAGAUACCCCAGUAGUC
Molecule: ribosomal RNA, 440 nt
Filed under: uncultured bacterium
Lineage: Bacteria
Description: partial 16S ribosomal RNA
Rfam family: Bacterial small subunit ribosomal RNA
Source: RNAcentral